GCCCUUCAGCAGCCGCGGUAAUACGUAUGUUCCAAGCGUUAUCCGGAUUUAUUGGGCGUAAAGCGAGCGCAGACGGUUAUUUAAGUCUGAAGUGAAAGCCCUCAGCUCAACUGAGGAAUUGCUUUGGAAACUGGAUGACUUGAGUGCAGUAGAGGAAAGUGGAACUCCAUGUGUAGCGGUGAAAUGCGUAGAUAUAUGGAAGAACACCAGUGGCGAAGGCGGCUUUCUGGACUGUAACUGACGUUGAGGCUCGAAAGUGUGGGUAGCAAACAGGAUUAGAUACCCUGGUAGUCCACACCGUAAACGAUGAGUGCUAGAUGUUCGAGGGUUUCCGCCCUUGAGUGUCGCAGCUAACGCAUUAAGCACUCCGCCUGGGGAGUACGACCGCAAGGUUGAAACUCAAAGGAAUUGACGGAAGGGC
Molecule: ribosomal RNA, 421 nt
Filed under: uncultured bacterium
Lineage: Bacteria
Description: bacterial SSU rRNA
Rfam family: Bacterial small subunit ribosomal RNA
Source: RNAcentral